GAAAUGCGAUAAUUAAUGUGAAUUGCAGAAUUCAGUGAAUCAUCGAGUCUUUGAACGCACAUUGCGCCCCCUGGUAUUCCGGGGGCAUGCCUGUCCGAGCGUCAUUGCUGCCCUCAAGCACGGCUUGUGUGUUGGGCUUCCGUCCCUGGCAACGGGGACGGGCCCCAAAGGCAGUGGCGGCACCAUGUCUGGUCCUCGAGCGUAUGGGGCUUUGUCACCCGCUCCCGUAGGUCCAGCUGGCAGCUAGCCUCGCAACCAAUCUUUUUAACCAGGUUGACCUCGGAUCAGGUAGGGAUACCCGCUGAACUUAAGC
This 313-nucleotide unclassified non-coding RNA is filed under the name plant metagenome. RNAcentral describes it as "partial contains 5.8S ribosomal RNA, internal transcribed spacer 2, and large subunit ribosomal RNA". The stretch from base 1 to 104 matches the Rfam family "5.8S ribosomal RNA", at positions 50 to 154 of the family's 154-position model. The record is from RNAcentral.